RNAcentral lists this ribosomal RNA (241 nucleotides) under uncultured Staphylococcus sp. Its description in RNAcentral is "partial 16S ribosomal RNA". It matches the Rfam family "Bacterial small subunit ribosomal RNA", at positions 99 to 334 of the family's 1533-position model. Lineage: Bacteria; Bacillati; Bacillota; Bacilli; Caryophanales; Staphylococcaceae. The record is from RNAcentral.
CGGACGGGUGAGUAACACGUGGAUAACCUACCUAUAAGACUGGGAUAACUUCGGGAAACCGGAGCUAAUACCGGAUAAUAUAUUGAACCGCAUGGUUCAAUAGUGAAAGACGGUUUUGCUGUCACUUAUAGAUGGAUCCGCGCCGCAUUAGCUAGUUUGUAAGGUAACGGCUUACCAAGGCAACGAUGCGUAGCCGACCUGAGAGGGUGAUCGGCCACACUGGAACUGAGACACGGUCCAG